RNAcentral lists this ribosomal RNA (252 nucleotides) under uncultured Odoribacter sp. RNAcentral's name for it is "partial 16S ribosomal RNA". It matches the Rfam family "Bacterial small subunit ribosomal RNA", at positions 524 to 776 of the family's 1533-position model. The record is from RNAcentral. Lineage: Bacteria; Pseudomonadati; Bacteroidota; Bacteroidia; Bacteroidales; Odoribacteraceae.
UACGGAGGAUGCGAGCGUUAUCCGGAUUUAUUGGGUUUAAAGGGUGCGUAGGCGGUUUUUUAAGUUAGUGGUUAAACGUCGGGGCUUCACCUUGAUUUGCCAUUAAUACUGUAAGACUCGAGUUCAGACGAGGUAGGCGGAAUAAGUUAAGUAGCGGUGAAAUGCUUAGAUAUCAUGAAGAACUCCGAUCGCGAAGGCAAGUGUCCGGGGUGCAACUGACGCUGAGGCUCGAAAGUGCGGGUAUCAAACAGG